UACAGAGGUGGCAAGCGUUGUUCGGAAUUACUGGGCGUAAAGGGCGCGUAGGCGGCUUGGUCAGUCCCGUGUGAAAUCCCUCGGCUCAACUGAGGAACUGCACGGGAAACUGCCUGGCUUGAGUUCGGGAGAGGGAAGCGGAAUUCCGGGUGUAGCGGUGAAAUGCGUAGAUAUCUGGAGGAACACCGGUGGCGAAGGCGGCAUCCUGGACCAAUACUGACACUGAGGAGCGAAAGCCAGGGGAGCAAACGGG
RNAcentral lists this ribosomal RNA (253 nucleotides) under uncultured bacterium. RNAcentral describes it as "partial 16S ribosomal RNA". It matches the Rfam family "Bacterial small subunit ribosomal RNA", at positions 524 to 776 of the family's 1533-position model. The record is from RNAcentral.